UUCUGUUCACAGUUCUGGCAGUGGUUAUUUUGAAGAGUAGCAAAACAGUCCCUGAUGUUGCCCUUCCGGCCUGGAAUUGGCAUUCUCUCUUUAUAAGCAUGACAUUUAAGGCCACACAAAACAUAAAUGCUCUGUGUGCUUUGCUCAUGCUGCUUAAUGCUUUCUCUUCCCCAGGGCCAAGAUGAGCUGCAGCCACCGCAAAGGCCACCUCGCCUGGGGAGUUUUGUACUACUUGCAGUGAUUUACAACCUCAAACACAACCACAAGCCUCUGUUUGUACCUUCUCUAUGGGCUGUAAGUGCUUUCUGGAAAUAGCUUUAAAUGCAUCAUCACUGUGAGCAUUCUUAUUGCUCCAGGCCAGCGGGAUGGAGCAUCAUUGGAAGUUCAGGCUUGUCAAUUUAAAAGCUUGAUUUGAAAAGUCACCGGAAAAAUAAAGAGGUUUGUUGCACUGGUGCUUCAUACACCACUGGACAGUCUUUGUUUUCCACUUGAGGUUCUCAUGAGCGCUGAUAGUUCAACCUUCUAAAUCCAGCCCACCAGAUCACAAAAGCUAUUCAGUGAAUAUUUAUUCUUCCCUUUGUGAGAGCUUGAUCUCCAAACUGACACAAGCAGUUUCUUAAUUUAUCUGUGAAAACACCAAAGUCCCAGGACAGUUUCAAAUGGAGACUAAUUCUGUUUAGAGAAGAUGUGGCUGACAGCUUAGUCUGCCUGUGCAACCUAAGCAUUGCAAUGCCCACAUAGACUAUGAGAAGACUUGUCAAAUAGUGUUAGAUUAAAUGAAAUUAAUUAAUUGAAGAACUUUUCUGAUUUGCAAAUCAGUCACCAAAUAUCAGGGGUCUGCUUAAAUUUUUUUCACAGUUUCCUGAUGAUUGUUUGGGUUAUUUUGAAAGUAUUAAUAGCUCCUUCUAAGUGGUGGUGUACAUUUUUAUAGAGUGACAAGUGGGAAGAUGGGGGCAAAAAAACAUUAUCAUUAUCAUCAUCAAAUGCUUUUCAGAUCAGCAGAUCAGUAACAUACCCAUGGAUCAGGCUAUUAUCAGUCUGUAUUUUCUACCCGCUAGCAACUUCCCUUUUUUUUUUUGACCUCUUUUGAAUUUUAUCAGAAUGAAAAUGUUAUUUUCAGUACUUCAUGAAAUGAAAUGUCAAAAUGCGCACCUUUCAUUUUCAAGUGAAGGUAACCUUAAUAUAGCUGUAUGCGCGUGUUUAUUCCUUCAGACCAAACAGCUAUGAUUGCUGAUGCAUGUGGUAGUUUAACCCUCGAGUGUAAAACUAGCUUAACUUAGCAGUUAGAGGCUGCUGUGACUUGGGGCUGUUAGUUACAGCAUCUUCCUUGCAUACACAGUUAUUUCUGCUCACUUUGUGUCAGAGAGAGAUGCAAUGGGCAGGUAACACAGAAACUGGGCUGGUUUUGGGUGCAGAGCCAGCUCAGCCUCCUCCUCACUGCUGGAAAAAAGCAUAAAUCACCUCAAAGACACGCUACUUUGUAAUGUGUUAUUGAGCAGCAUUCCUUGCAGUUCAGAAAGCUUCAUCUCCUCUAAAACUCACUAGUAUAGAUUAGUUGGAUCUUAGAGUAAAGCCUUAAUAGCUGCCAGUUAGUAUUUUUCCUACUGGGGAGAUUGAAAAUGAUUCUUCAUUAGAUUUCAGAAAUGCUUUUUGAAAACUUUCCCUUUUCUUGCCUUUCUGCUGGCAUAUCUUGUGUUUCUGCCUUUGAAUUUACAGGUAUUCCCUAUGUCAUUCCACCUGCUGCAUGAAUUCCCUACAGCAACGAGCUUAUGGUUGGCAUUGAGAUGGGCUUCCCUUCUAUUUCUAUUUCUCUUCUGUUUCUUUUUCCAGACUAACUUUCUUUCUGCAAAAUGGACUUGUGCUGUUGGAUACCUAAUCCCCUGUUUGUAAGCAAGUCUUAAUUAUCUGCUUCUUUCCUGUUUGCUUUUUGAAAUAAGUAUAAUAAAACCAGUAACCUCUCCAGUAUGUGUCUGUACUUCAGUACACGAUGCUCAUGAGCGUUUUGUCAUCUACACAAGGGUCACCCAGGCUGCAACAAUAAUUGAUAUCACAGGAUGAACAGGACAGGCAACUCGAAAGGGGAAUAAAUGGAAUGUGGCUGAAGACGCUUCUUUCUGGUCACUUGGGUCAGAGCUGGUUGGCAUUCCAAACAUCCAGGCAGAAGUAACACAAGUUCAAUCACAAGAAGACCCAUGAACCACAUGACCACAGAAGGACACAUGAUGGCAAUGGCCAGAAUCCAGAUGAGCACAAUACUGGCAACUGCAGUUGCACUGCUCAGCUUCUGCUUGAAUGGGUCAACGAUGCGCCGGAACCUGCAGCAAACAUAGACAUGGAAAAGCCAUUUAAGGAAUGCUGAGUCUUAACAGGCAAGCCUACAAAUGCACUGAAAUUGUAUGGCUUCUAAAAACAUAGAUGGAAUAAUCUCCUCAUCCUGCAUGAACCACUGGAAUUGCAUUGAGAUUCUCUGUUCAAGAGCUGUGUGGUAAAAACAAUAUUAAAAAAAAGGGCGCAUUCACUAUUAAAAUUUCCUCAUUUUAAUCUCCAUAUCAUAGAAUCACAGAAUGGUUUGGGUUGGAAGGGACUUUAAAGAUCAUUCAGUUCCAAUCCCCCUGCCACGGGCAGGGAUGCCUUCUGCCUGUCCAUGUUGCCCAAGCCCCUGUCCAGCCUGGCCUUGAAUACUGCAGGGAUGGAGUAUUCACCACUUCUUUGGGCACCCUGUUCCAGUGCCUCACCACCCUCACAGUAAAGAACUUCUUCCUUAUAUCUAACCUGAACUUCCCCUGUUUAAGUUUAAACCCAUUACCCCUUGUCCUGUCAUUACAGUCCCUGAUGAAGAGUCCCUGUCCAGCACCUUUGGAGGGCCUCUUCAGAUACGGGACAGCUGCUAUGUAUCAGCCUCCUGCUACUGCUACUUCACUGAACCAAAGCAGGUACUAGUGCCUCUGCUAUAUAUCUUCAUAGCUAAGGAACAGUCUAAUUCUAGGCAGGCAUAGCCCAUAUCUAGUGUCUUUAAGAGAUACCAGGGGAGGAGCAAAUUGUCAUGGCUGCUCUUUAGACCCAGCCACAUUCUGAUUUGCUUAGUAGCCUUAGCAGUAAAAUGUACCCAGUUCAUUGCAUUCUUGUGUGGAUUAAUGAAUCAACCUCAGUCUGGUCAAGUGGCAGAGGGAGAUGGAAGAGGCAGUUUGCAGUCUCUGCACCAUCUUACCUGUCAACAGCAAUUGCAACUAGAGUGAAGACAGAGGCAGAAACAGAGACUCCUUGGAUCAUCCCGCUCAUCUUGCAAAUCAGGUUCCCAAAUGGCCACCCUGGAAGGAAACAGGCAAUUGAAAUUCCCACCAGCUCACUGCAGCAUUAUGCUUAUACAAGUAACAGGAAAUUUCCACCCCAGUGCUAAGAAGUUUCUUUGGUUGUGUCAGGCCAUAGCAAGGGUCAGGAAAGCAGAGGUUUUGUAAACAAACGCUUUGCCAAAUGCCUUGGGUGAGUUUCUAAUGUUCCAAAAACCAGCAAAGCAACAUUUCAUAGAGUCAGAGAAUCCCAGGUUGGAAGGGACCUCAAGGAUCAUCUGGUGCAACCUUUCUAGGCAAGCAUGACCUAGACUAGAUGUCCCAGCACCCUGUGCAACCAAAACUUAGAAGUGUCCAGUGUUGGGGAAUCCACCACUACCCCAGUGGAUUUUCACUAUGAGAACAAUGGCUGUUCCCAUUGUGAAAAAUUUUCCUCAUGUCCAGAAACAUCCCAUUUAACAUCCCAUUAAAAGGAGAUCUCAAGACAAGGAAGAGAACUGACCAGCACAGUUGGUUGUUCCUGCAUCUGGCUCAUAGCACCCUCUUUCUAAACAUGUCAUCUGGCAGUGGGAGAAUCCCUUCUGAAAGAUGAGGGAUGUGGAAGUCAGUGAAGACAUCCCCAGUCAGGAGGUGGGUUAGGUGCUUGUCUUUCUUAUCUCUGACUUCCACUGACUUGAACCUGGCCUGGCAGUAUUCAAGGCCAGGUUGGACGGGGCUUGGAGCAACCUGGUCUAGUGGAAGGUGUCCCUGCCCAUGGCAGGGGGCCAGAACUGGAUGAGCGUUAAGGUCCCUUCCAACCCGUUCUGUGAACUCCCUUCAUAGCCCACUCAGAAACAGGCACCCGGCUCUCAGGACCUCAAGGUGAGUCCCCCCUUGAGGUCUUUCCACCAAGGGGUGUGAACCAGCCUACCUGCAAUGAUGUUAUCCAGGAGGGUGGUAGGCAUGCAGAAGAUUCCCACCAGCAAAUCGCUGACAGCCAGGUUUAAGAUGAAAAUGUUUGUGACUGUACGCAUACGUUUGCUCUUCAGCACAAUAAAACAAACCACUCCGUUGCCAACCAUGCAGAGCAGGAAGAUCAGGAGGUAAGAAAUGAUGAAGACAGCUGCCACUAAAGGCUGAUGAAGGUAGAAGUCCACGUAGGAGACAUUCCCUUCUAAGUAGAGGUACUUGUAAGUCCUGUUAUAAUUCAGCAUGUGAGGCCAUUCGAACGGAGAGUUUGAGUCCAUUUUCUUGCUCGUGUUCUAAUGUGCUUCAACAGACAUUUAAAAGAGGUCAUUUUAGUGUGCUUGGAAUUGAUCAGAAGAAAUAUGACUAGUUUGGACAUGCUGUGUGCUGAAAAACAUGCAGAGCUUAUGUAGACUCAUCCCUCUGUGGCUUUUUAACAGGCCAUGUUCUGAGCCUCCCUGGAUAGGAGAAACAGUGACUAAAUGAAAUCUUUGUGAAGUGGCUCAGACCUUCUGCCUGAAUGCAUCCAAAUGCAAUCCCCUUUGAUUGAAAAUGAAAUAUUUUUGUGUACAGUUGGUAUGAGACCACAGUUGAUGUCACUGCCCUGCCCACAAGCUGUGUAGAUCAGGAGAUGAGUCCGCAAACACCAAGGACCACACCGUGUUUAAAACGCAGUGAGGUACAGGGUGUCUGGAUUAAUUUCCUGGCUCUGCUAUUGAAUUCCCAUGGGAUACUGGGGGACUGGUAAUUUCUCCAUGUUGCAGUUUUCCUGCUAUGAAAUGUGAGUAAUACUUGUCCCCCCCAAGGUUUGUUUACACUGUCAAGUAAGUUCCCGUAUUUUAUAUUUUAUUAGAUGACUGUUGUCAAACACUACAAAGCUUUUCUAGAAAAGAUUUGAAGAAUUCUGAACUUUCUUGAUAUUGAAUCAUCUGGGCUGGUGUGAUGGCUUGAACAUAAGGGACGUGAGGCUUCUUGUUUGCCUGGAGCUGAAAGAAUCCAUUUAAGGCAGGUACAGAAUUUGUGUGCCCCACACUGAGUUACUUCCAAAUUAAACUGUUUGAGAUUAACUUCGUAGAUCACAAUCUGUUUUCUUGUCCUGAAGAAACAUCAGGUUACACCAGAUGCUGCACCAAAGUUCUAAAUCAAAUCUUCACAUGGCAAAAUUCCAACAUACAUAUUAUACAACUCACACAGAGAUGGUAUCAGUCUACAUAACAGGCCAACAUGGGCAUCUGGACAUUUACAGCUGAUACCAGAUAACUUGACUUGGAAACAGCAUUCAAAAGGUUUUCCCACAUUUAUUUAUUUUACCUACCAGAUGGAGAUGCCCAAAGAGGCAGGGGGAUGGAGGAGUACAUAACAUAAAAGAACAGCAAAAUUAAUUGGUGGCAGAAGGCAUAAGAUUAAUGCAUGGAUGCAGGUACCUUUAGGACACUUAGAAAUUCCUUAGAAUAAAUGAGAUUUAAAUUAAAGUACCCAAAUCCUGGUGAGUUUGUAUGUGAGGGAAGGGAAGUGCUGGCUACAUCUCUUUUCUUAUGAAAAGGAAGCUGGAGCAGGCCCUGCUUUGUGCUGCUCAGUUUUCAGCUGCCUCCCAUGUACCUGAUGACCAGGCGUGUGCUGCUUUUUUCUCUAUCUGUGGAGUAAUGAUGGAAGGUGACAUCCUGUUGUCACUCUGUGUAGAGCAGCCCUCUCCCAGGAAAUAAAAAUGAGUGUUAGGUGCCAGGGAUUGAGAAUAUUUCUAUUCCAAUGUAUUAAGUGCCAAAUGCUUUAAAUAGCCAAAGAUCAGAGUGAACAGCAAUGGAAAGUGUUUUAACGGCAGUGUUACCGUUCACUUUGCAUACACACAGGAUGAAGAGUAUUGGCAGAAUUCACAGGUAGAUGUUUGACAUUAGUAGCUUAUUCUGUUUCUUUAAUCACAUCCCUGGAUCUGCUUUAUCAGUCCCAGGAGAUGCUGUGUCACUCAAACUCCAUUUGAAGCUCAGCAUCUCUCUGACAGAGCAACCAAUCCCAAGAAUCUGGAUAGUCAGGCCCUCUGCCCUUCUCAGCCUCUAACAAAACUAAAUGUGUAUUUGCUUCUUUUGUUUUGGCUUCUCUGAGGUUCCACCUAAGUUCAUGUUCUCAAUGUUUGUCUGCAAAUAGAACACCCAUAAAUGCAUUCAAUCUUACUAUUAUUAUUGUAAAUGAAUACUAAUUUUCUUCUGUAAUCAUUUGCUUCCCAGGGGUGGUGCUUGAAGAAGGACACUCCAGCAGAUGAGACAGAGGUGGCUUUUUCCUUCCUUGCCUUCUGUAGAUUGGCUUUUUGAGGGCUUUGGGCCCAGGAGCACAAACCCUUGUGGCUCAGUCUUGAGACUUCAAUAUCAGCCAAACACCAGGAUCCAGGCUGAGGCUAAGUAAAUGAUGUGCAGAGACUGUCACCAACACACUGCAGAACCUGGGCUCAGCAAGAUAUAGGCCACAGGCCAGACAGCCUUUUCCCCAGGUCUGGAUGGCAUGAGAAUACCACUGACUGCUUGGAAAUUGCUUUAAGAGCCCUGCAAGCUUGUACAGCAGUAACAGCCACACCACUCCAGGCAGUUUGCUACCUGCUUGUCCCUCCACAGCCUCUUAAAGACCCUGGCCGUACCUUGGCCUUUGGCACUUCUGUACAGAGCCACACCAUCAGCUCCACCAGAUUCAGCAAAAGAGCAAGUCCAGAUGAAUGCAAAAAUCCAUGAGAGUGGCAGAAUGUCACCAUAUGGGGUUUGGCAGGAUGUGGG
Long non-coding RNA from Pezoporus flaviventris, 6988 nucleotides. RefSeq lists it as uncharacterized. The record is from RefSeq and is a predicted model, not a curated record. Lineage: Eukaryota; Metazoa; Chordata; Aves; Psittaciformes; Psittacidae. The transcript is spliced from 5 exons.